UACGUAGGGUGCAAGCGUUGUCCGGAAUUAUUGGGCGUAAAGAGCUCGUAGGCGGUCUGUUGCGUCGGCUGUGAAAACCCGGGGCUCAACUCCGGGCCUGCAGCCGAUACGGGCAGACUAGAGUUCGGCAGGGGAGACUGGAAUUCCUGGUGUAGCGGUGAAAUGCGUAGAUAUCAGGAGGAACACCGAUGGCGAAGGCAGGUCUCUGGGCCGAUACUGACGCUGAGGAGCGAAAGCGUGGGGAGCGAACAGG
Molecule: ribosomal RNA, 253 nt
Filed under: uncultured bacterium
Lineage: Bacteria
Description: partial 16S ribosomal RNA
Rfam family: Bacterial small subunit ribosomal RNA
Source: RNAcentral